This 809-nucleotide ribosomal RNA is filed under the name uncultured Pelagibacteraceae bacterium. RNAcentral describes it as "bacterial SSU rRNA". It matches the Rfam family "Bacterial small subunit ribosomal RNA", at positions 33 to 890 of the family's 1533-position model. The record is from RNAcentral. Lineage: Bacteria; Pseudomonadati; Pseudomonadota; Alphaproteobacteria; Candidatus Pelagibacterales; Candidatus Pelagibacteraceae.
ACGCUGGCGGCACGCCUAACACAUGCAAGUCGAACGAAGUAGCAAUACUUAGUGGCAGACGGGUGAGUAACAUGUAGGAAUCUUCCCUAUGGCCUGGAAUAACACGAGGAAACUUGUGCUAAUACCGGAUAAGUCUUUACAGAGAAAGCUUUAUGCACCAUUGGAUGAGCCUGCACUUGAUUAGUUUGUUGGUGGGGUAAUGGCCUACCAAGACUUUGAUCAAUAGCUGAUUUGAGAGGAUGAUCAGCCACAUUGGGACUGAGACACGGCCCAAACUCCUACGGGAGGCAGCAGUGGGGAAUCUUGCACAAUGGAGGAAACUCUGAUGCAGCGAUGCCGCGUGAGUGAAGAAGGCCUUUGGGUUGUAAAGCUCUUUCGUCGGGGAAGAAAAUGACUGUACCCGAAUAAGAAGGUCCGGCUAACUUCGUGCCAGCAGCCGCGGUAAUACGAAGGGACCUAGCGUAGUUCGGAAUUACUGGGCUUAAAGAGUUCGUAGGUGGUUGAAAAAGUUGGUGGUGAAAUCCCAGAGCUUAACUCUGGAACUGCCAUCAAAACUUUUCAGCUAGAGUUUGAUAGAGGAAAGCAGAAUUUCUAGUGUAGAGGUGAAAUUCGUAGAUAUUAGAAAGAAUACCAAUUGCGAAGGCAGCUUUCUGGAUCAUUACUGACACUGAGGAACGAAAGCAUGGGUAGCGAAGAGGAUUAGAUACCCUCGUAGUCCAUGCCGUAAACGAUGUGUGUUAGACGUUGGGAAUUUAUUUUCAGUGUCGCAGCGAAAGCAAUAAACACACCGCCUGGGGAGUACGACCGCA